GAUGAACGCUAGCUACAGGCUUAACACAUGCAAGUCGAGGGGUAACAAGAGAAAAGCUUGCUUUUCUUGUUGACGACCGGCGCACGGGUGAGUAACGCGUAUCCAACCUGCCUAUAACUAGGGAAUAACCUUGCGAAAGUAAGACUAAAACCCUAUGAUUUCCUUUGAUGACAUCAGAUUAGGAAUAAAGAUUUAUCGGUUACAGAUGGGGAAGCGUCUGAUUAGCUUGUUGGCGGGGUAACGGCCCACCAAGGCAACGAUCAGUAGGGGUUCUGAGAGGAAGGUCCCCCACAUUGGAACUGAGACACGGUCCAAACUCCUACGGGAGGCAGCAGUGAGGAAUAUUGGUCAAUGGGCGAAAGCCGGAACCAGCCAAGUAGCGUGCAGGAUGACGGCCCUAUGGGUUGUAAACUGCUUUUAUACAGGAAUAAAGUUAGCCACGUGUGGUUAUUUGUAGGUACUGUAUGAAUAUGGACCGGCUAAUUCCGUGCCAGCCGCCGCAGUAA
Molecule: ribosomal RNA, 506 nt
Filed under: uncultured bacterium
Lineage: Bacteria
Description: partial 16S ribosomal RNA
Rfam family: Bacterial small subunit ribosomal RNA
Source: RNAcentral